UACGUAGGGUGCAAGCGUUAAUCGGAAUUACUGGGCGUAAAGUGUGCGCAGGCGGCAGAGCAAGUCGAGUGUGAAAGCCCCGGGCUUAACUUGGGAAUUGCGCUCGAAACUACUUUGCUGGAGUGUGGCAGAGGAAGGUGGAAUUCCACGUGUAGCGGUGAAAUGCGUAGAUAUUCGGAAGAACACCAGUGGCGAAGGCGGCUCACUGGCCCGGUACUGACGCUGAGGUGCGAAAGCGUGGGGAGCGAACAGG
Molecule: ribosomal RNA, 253 nt
Filed under: uncultured bacterium
Lineage: Bacteria
Description: partial 16S ribosomal RNA
Rfam family: Bacterial small subunit ribosomal RNA
Source: RNAcentral